UCAUCCCUACAGUGAUGGGAGAUUGUAUGU
This 30-nucleotide non-coding RNA is filed under the name Rattus norvegicus (Norway rat). Lineage: Eukaryota; Metazoa; Chordata; Mammalia; Rodentia; Muridae. The record is from RNAcentral.